UGCAAGUCGUACGCUUCUUUUUCCACCGGAGCUUGCUCCACCGGAAAAAGAAGAGUGGCGAACGGGUGAGUAACACGUGGGUAACCUGCCCAUCAGAAGGGGAUAACACUUGGAAACAGGUGCUAAUACCGUAUAACAAUCGAAACCGCAUGGUUUUGAUUUGAAAGGCGCUUUCGGGUGUCGCUGAUGGAUGGACCCGCGGUGCAUUAGCUAGUUGGUGAGGUAACGGCUCACCAAGGCCACGAUGCAUAGCCGACCUGAGAGGGUGAUCGGCCACAUUGGGACUGAGACACGGCCCAAACUCCUACGGGAGGCAGCAGUAGGGAAUCUUCGGCAAUGGACGAAAGUCUGACCGAGCAACGCCGCGUGAGUGAAGAAGGUUUUCGGAUCGUAAAACUCUGUUGUUAGAGAAGAACAAGGAUGAGAGUAACUGUUCAUCCCUUGACGGUAUCUAACCAGAAAGCCACGGCUAACUACGUGCCAG
This 484-nucleotide ribosomal RNA is filed under the name Enterococcus durans. Its description in RNAcentral is "bacterial SSU rRNA". It matches the Rfam family "Bacterial small subunit ribosomal RNA", at positions 56 to 511 of the family's 1533-position model. Lineage: Bacteria; Bacillati; Bacillota; Bacilli; Lactobacillales; Enterococcaceae. The record is from RNAcentral.